This 1275-nucleotide ribosomal RNA is filed under the name Ruminococcus bicirculans (ex Wegman et al. 2014). RNAcentral's name for it is "partial 23S ribosomal RNA". It matches the Rfam family "Bacterial large subunit ribosomal RNA", at positions 1633 to 2925 of the family's 2925-position model. Lineage: Bacteria; Bacillati; Bacillota; Clostridia; Eubacteriales; Oscillospiraceae. The record is from RNAcentral.
CUUAGGUGCCCGUACCGCAAACCGACACAGGUAGAUAGGAAGAAGAUUCUAAGGCCAACGGGAGAAGGGUUGUUAAGGAACUCGGCAAGUUGACCCCGUAACUUAGGGAUAAGGGGUGCUCAAGUGAUUGAGCCGCAGAGAAUAGGCCCAGGCGACUGUUUAGCAAAAACACAGGUCUCUGCUAAAUCGAAAGAUGACGUAUAGGGGCUGACACCUGCCCGGUGCCGGAAGGUUAAGAGGAGAUGUGAGAGCAUUGAAUUGAAGCCCCGGUAAACGGCGGCCGUAACUAUAACGGUCCUAAGGUAGCGAAAUUCCUUGUCAGGUAAGUUCUGACCCGCACGAAAGGUGUAACGAUCUGGGCACUGUCUCAACAACCCGCCCGGCGAAAUUGUAGUACCGGUGAAGAUGCCGGUUACCCGCGACUAGACGGAAAGACCCCAUGGAGCUUUACUGUAGCCUAAUAUUGGAUUUCGGUAUUUCACGUACAGGAUAGGUGGGAGACUGGGAAGCACAGGCGUCAGCUUGUGUGGAGUCGACCUUGGGAUACCACUCUUGGAGUGCUGGAAUUCUAACCUGCGGCUUUGAAGCAAGUCGGGGGACAUUGUUAGGUGGGCAGUUUGACUGGGGCGGUCGCCUCCUAAAGAGUAACGGAGGCGCUCAAAGGUUCGCUCUGCAUGGAUGGAAACCAUGCGUCAGAGUGUAAACGCAAAAGCGAGCCUAACUGCGAGAAUGACGGUUCGAGCAGUAACGAAAGUUGGAGUUAGUGAUCCGGCGGUAUGUGAAUGGAAAUGCCGUCGCUCAACGGAUAAAAGCUACCCUGGGGAUAACAGGCUGAUCUCCCCCAAGAGUCCACAUCGACGGGGAGGUUUGGCACCUCGAUGUCGGCUCAUCGCAUCCUGGGGCUGAAUUCGGUCCCAAGGGUUUGGCUGUUCGCCAAUUAAAGCGGUACGCGAGCUGGGUUCAGAACGUCGUGAGACAGUUCGGUCCCUAUCUGUCGUGGGCGUAGGAUAUUUGCAAGGAGCUGUCCCUAGUACGAGAGGACCGGGAUGGACGCACCUCUGGUGCACCAGUUGUCACGCCAGUGGCACAGCUGGGCAGCUAUGUGCGGAACGGAUAAACGCUGAAGGCAUCUAAGCGUGAAGCCGCCCUUAAGAUAAGAUAUCCCUUCUGUUUACAGAGUAAGACCCCUUGAAGACUACAAGGUUGAUAGGCUCAAAGUGUAAGCACGGUGACGUGUUUAGCUAGCGAGUACUAAUCGGUCGAGGGCUUAACCUU